CAGUCGCCGCGGGAAUACAGAGGGUGCAAGCGUUAAUCGGAAUUACUGGGCGUAAAGCGCGCGUAGGUGGUUUGUUAAGUUGGAUGUGAAAUCCCCGGGCUCAACCUGGGAACUGCAUCCAAAACUGGCAAGCUAGAGUAUGGUAGAGGGUGGUGGAAUUUCCUGUGUAGCGGUGAAAUGCGUAGAUAUAGGAAGGAACACCAGUGGCGAAGGCGACCACCUGGACUGAUACUGACGCUGAGGUACGAAAGCAUGGGGAGCAAACAGGAUUAGAUACCCCUGUAGUCCCUGUCUCUUAUAC
RNAcentral lists this ribosomal RNA (301 nucleotides) under uncultured bacterium. RNAcentral's name for it is "partial 16S ribosomal RNA". It matches the Rfam family "Bacterial small subunit ribosomal RNA", at positions 509 to 807 of the family's 1533-position model. The record is from RNAcentral.